CCCUUAGAUGUCCUGGGCCGCACGCGCGUUACACUGAUGCAUUCAACGAGCUUAUAACCUUGGCCGAGAGGCCUGGGCAAUCUUGUUAACGUGCAUCGUGAUAGGGAUAGAUUAUUGAAAUUAUUAAUCUUGAACGAGGAAUUCCUAGUAAACGCAGAUCAUCAAUCUGCAUUGAUUACGUCCCUGCCCUUUGUACACGCCGCCCGUCGCACCUACCGAUUGGAUGGUCCGGUGAAGCCUCGGGAUUGUGGUUCUUGCCGCUUUAUUGUGGCGUGACCGCGAGAACUUGUCUAAACCUUAUCAUCUAGAGGAAGGUGAAGUCGUAACA
This 328-nucleotide ribosomal RNA is filed under the name uncultured eukaryote. Its description in RNAcentral is "partial 18S ribosomal RNA". It matches the Rfam family "Eukaryotic small subunit ribosomal RNA", at positions 1470 to 1796 of the family's 1831-position model. The record is from RNAcentral.